RNAcentral lists this ribosomal RNA (353 nucleotides) under uncultured bacterium. RNAcentral describes it as "bacterial SSU rRNA". It matches the Rfam family "Bacterial small subunit ribosomal RNA", at positions 8 to 349 of the family's 1533-position model. The record is from RNAcentral.
AGAGUUUGAUCAUGGCUCAGGAUGAACGCUAGCUACAGGCUUAACACAUGCAAGUCGAGGGGAAACGACAUCGAAAGCUUGCUUUUGAUGGGCGUCGACCGGCGCACGGGUGAGUAACGCGUAUCCAACCUGCCCAUCACUUGGGGAUAACCUUGCGAAAGUAGACUAAUACCCAAUGAUAUCUCUAGAAGACAUCUGAAAAGAGAUUAAAGAUUUUAUCGGUGAUGGAUGGGGAUGCGUCUGAUUAGCUUGUUGGCGGGGUAACGGCCCACAAGGCUACGAUCAGUAGGGGUUCUGAGAGGAAGGUCCCCCCACAUUGGAACUGAGACACGGUCCAAACUCCUACGGGAGCA